GUGGGGAAUAUUGGACAAUGGGCGAAAGCCUGAUCCAGCAAUGCCGCGUGAGUGAUGAAGGCCUUAGGGUUGUAAAGCUCCUUUACCAGGGAUGAUAAUGACAGUACCUGGAGAAUAAGCUCCGGCUAACUCCGUGCCAGCAGCCGCGGUAAUACGGAGGGAGCUAGCGUUGUUCGGAAUUACUGGGCGUAAAGCGCACGUAGGCGGUUACUCAAGUCAGAGGUGAAAGCCCGGGGCUCAACCCCGGAACUGCCUUUGAAACUAGGUAACUAGAAUCUUGGAGAGGUCAGUGGAAUUCCGAGUGUAGAGGUGAAAUUCGUAGAUAUUCGGAAGAACACCAGUGGCGAAGGCGACUGACUGGACAAGUAUUGACGCUGAGGUGCGAAAGCGUGGGGAGCAAACAGGAUUAGAAACCCUGGUAGUCC
This 425-nucleotide ribosomal RNA is filed under the name uncultured bacterium. RNAcentral describes it as "partial 16S ribosomal RNA". It matches the Rfam family "Bacterial small subunit ribosomal RNA", at positions 354 to 796 of the family's 1533-position model. The record is from RNAcentral.